This 595-nucleotide ribosomal RNA is filed under the name Corynebacterium sp. RNAcentral describes it as "bacterial SSU rRNA". It matches the Rfam family "Bacterial small subunit ribosomal RNA", at positions 118 to 726 of the family's 1533-position model. Lineage: Bacteria; Bacillati; Actinomycetota; Actinomycetes; Mycobacteriales; Corynebacteriaceae. The record is from RNAcentral.
UGGGUGAUUUGCCCUGUACUUCGGGAUAAGCUUGGGAAACUGGGUCUAAUACCGGAUAGGACAACUUUUUGGAUAUUGUUGUGGAAAGCUUUUGCGGUAUGGGAUGAGCUCGCGGCCUAUCAGCUUGUUGGUGGGGUAAUGGCCUACCAAGGCGUCGACGGGUAGCCGGCCUGAGAGGGUGUACGGCCACAUUGGGACUGAGAUACGGCCCAGACUCCUACGGGAGGCAGCAGUGGGGAAUAUUGCACAAUGGGCGCAAGCCUGAUGCAGCGACGCCGCGUGGGGGAUGAAGGCCUUCGGGUUGUAAACUCCUUUCGCUAGGGACGAAGCAUUUUUGUGACGGUACCUGGAGAAGAAGCACCGGCUAACUACGUGCCAGCAGCCGCGGUAAUACGUAGGGUGCGAGCGUUGUCCGGAAUUACUGGGCGUAAAGAGCUCGUAGGUGGUUUGUCGCGUCGUUUGUGUAAGUCCACAGCUUAACUGUGGGACUGCAGGCGAUACGGGCAUAACUUGAGUGCUGUAGGGGAGACUGGAAUUCCUGGUGUAGCGGUGAAAUGCGCAGAUAUCAGGAGGAACACCGAUGGCGAAGGCAGGU